Molecule: long non-coding RNA, 3304 nt
Organism: Megalobrama amblycephala (Wuchang bream)
Lineage: Eukaryota; Metazoa; Chordata; Actinopteri; Cypriniformes; Xenocyprididae
Exons: 3
Source: RefSeq, a predicted model, not a curated record
UUCUCUGUGUCUGUGGCACAGGUCAUGUGGGAGUAGAUUUCUUUGAUGUCUCGUCGCAAGUUCAGAUCUAAGAACUGCACCUUGAUGUAGUUACCAGCAUCCUCAAAGGUGUUGGGACCUGAGAGAGAGUCGUUGAGCUGAUAUUCGGAGGCCCUUUCAAAGCACGCUUGGAUACCCGAGUCCUUCCACAACCUCAGGAUGAUGUCUGACAGCUCCUUGGGCAUGGAGCCUUCCUCGAUGGUGUCCGCUAAGUGCAUCAGCCUCCUUCCAUCAUCCUGCAGAAAACAGAGGCUUGAGGCUUAUUAUUCUUGCCCUAAGCCGCUUCAAGCUUGAUGUGCCAUAACCCUGACCCACAUCACUUCACGGACAAAGACACGGGCAUUUAUGAAUGUACACGCAUGCCUGAAAAAUGUUUUGAGAUCAUUUAUUUUGGAUAUUGAGAUAUAGAGACUUUUAUAAACUAUGCUGUCAUUUUUGUGUCUCCAGUUUAUUUAGCACUACUUUGGUUUGACUUUCAGUAAGACAUCAAUUUUAUUAUCUUAUUUCUUCUGUGUAAGCUUUAGAUAUUUAAUAUUCCUUUCAUAUCACAGCAAAGAAAUUAAUAAAACAUAAAAUGUCGUUCAGUCAUCGCCUGUUUAUUAUGACGAUUUAAAUGGGAAGGCUACACAACGAAUCCACUAUAUACCAUUUUUCAAAUCUAGCCAAUUAGCUGUUCUUCAUGUUUGGACUUGAACAAUCAUUUGAGUCCCCUCAUGCGUUGUUACCUAGCAGCAGAAGUUUGACGGUCCUGGCAUCUUUGUCGGCGUCCUCUUUCAGCUUCUUCUCUAGCUCCUUGGAGUGCUUCUCCUCUGCGCUCGCCCCGGCCCCCAUACUGACUCUUGAUUAGGGAAAAAAGAAGUCCUUCUGGAUAACCACUCGCUUGCACAGAGGCCUCCAGGUGCUGUCAACGAUACAGCUCACACCUCGACUGGAUCUUGGUGACCUGACGAAUCGUUUCGAGUCUUAGAGGGAUUUUGGGGAUGUCUCUGACCACCUGGGUUGGUGGGGCCAAUGAAGAACAAGGACAGAAGGCAUUCAAAGCACGGAGAGGUCAUCUAACCUCAGAUUUAGGGAGAAGGUGCUGCGCUCAGCAAAAGGCGCUAAGCUGACCGGUGUCUUCACGAGCACAUUAAAAAGGACUGUGUGAGUGGUGUAAUGUGAAUGUUACAUUGUCAUCAACCGAUGCAUGGUAUGCUUUUCAAGAAAAGGCAGAAGAAGACUGAGAAGUAAAUGGGCCUCGUGUUGCCUGCCAUUGUGGUUUUCUCUCUCUAUAUUCUGGUGAAAAUAUGCUUGACAUCGUGAAAGCAAAUUGCCUCUGUAUGGCCAAAAUUUUUGGCUUUUCAAAAUAGCCUGAAAGAUUUUUUUUAUUUUUUAUAAAAUGACUGAAUGUGAGGAAGUUCUGCAAUCUCCAUGAGUAAUUCUAAUCUCACCUUCCCACUGUAGUCAUCAGAAUCAGUUCGCAUUUUCCAUGCAGUGUACACAGAGUGCAGCACAGCGUUUAAAGAGCUUUAGUCUUUUACCUGACAGCUCAUUGACCCCAAUCUGAAGAUUGAUACAUUUUAAUCCACAGGCAUCACAGGUGACAGGAACACUUUCUUUGAUGUACUUUAUUAGUAGCAAAUAUUCAUUUCAAUGUAUACCUGGAAAAAUAAACAUUAAUGCAAGUAAUGUUUAAUUAUAUGAUCACGUUUAUCAUGCUAAACAUUUAGUUUAGCUUAAAAACAGUUUAGUUUAUCUAAAAAACAAGUGCUAAGAAAGCCUUUCAUUGGCUACACUGGGUUAAAAAUGUGUUCGUAAAUCUCUGUAUUCAUUUAUGCCACGUUUUUGCCCUCAUGACUGACUGUAAUUAACAAGACAAUCAACCGUCACAUUAUUUGAUAGAUUUAUCUUGGUUUAGUUCAAAGAAUUUUGAAAGACAUUUCUGUGUUUCUUUUUUUUUUUCCAACUUUGAGAAUUGUCAUGUCACAGUGCUACAUAAAGAUACAGUAACAUGUUGUUUGUAUCAUUGUUACAUAGUAAAAACUAUAAAUUAUGCAUAAUUACAUGCACUUAACCCUAAACUAAACCAUCAACCUAACCCUAACCAUAUAGUAAGUACAUGUAGUUAAUUAUUAUUACUCAGUACUUAAAUGUAUAAUUGCACUGUAACACGGACACCUUAAAAUAAAGUGUAAUCAAAAAUCUUCAAUUCAGUGAUCAGAAUUGUUGGUUACAUUUUAUUUUAAGGUGUCCUUGUUACAAUGUAAUUAUACAUUUAAUUAACAGCAUUUACUUGCUUUGUAAUUAUGCAUAAUUUACUGUUGUUACUACAUAAGCAACAUGUAACAAGAACAUUAAAAUAAAGUUACAGAUUUUUUUAAAUAAAAUAAAAAAAAAACUUGGCACAAGGUUUUCAAAUAUUUAUUUAAAAUUCUACUGUAUGGUGUGAUGACAUUUGUGAAUUACGUUUGGAAAGAGAGCACAAAUCACACUUCAUUAUCAAUUGUCAUUCAUCUUGUGAAUGACCCUAAAGUAAAGUUCUCAAAUAAUGUACUAUUUUCUCAGUUCAUAAAAUAUGCAAAUCAGCAGCUUCCUUAAUCCACUUUUGGUGAAAAGUGAAAAAGCUAUUGGUUUUUUAUGCACUGUAAACUCAUGUCUUUUUCAAUCUAACAUUAAGCUUGUGAAUGAAAGGUUCAGACGUAAGUACAGUAUAUACCCAAUAACAUUUCUGAAGAAAGACCAACCUAUAUUUGUUAUAAAAUAUAUAACUUUAAUUAGUCAACGACAAUGAUGGAAAAGAAAACAAAUAAAAAUACAUUACUAUAACAUUAACUGUUUAUAACAUCUAAUUCUGGAUCUUUUUCACAUUAGAUAAAAAAAAAAAAAAAGACAAAACAAUGGAACAAACCACAGUGAUGAAUAAUGUCUUAUAAAUGAAAGAAAAAACAUUUACAACAACCAUUUCACACAGCCUGUCUGCUGAGUGUUCUGAGAAAACACAACGGAGGUGACACACACACACACACACACACAUAUAAGGUAAUUGUGCUUGAUUCCAUCACUAGUUAAAGUCCUCUGUCUUCAGAAAACAGUCUCUCUCUUACUCUCGAUUCAUGUCAAAGACCAUACAGCAACACGGCAACAUAUCCAGAAUUUGACUACAUAUCUGUACAGUACAAAUACAGUUCAUGCAAACGCAAACAAGUUUAGUUCCAAAUGAUGUAACACUUCCAAAUGAUCACCUAUUAAUUGUUUUUUUGUUUUUCUUUUCUUUUCUUUUUUUUUA